GUGCUCAUUUCUGCAGCACAUAUACUAAAAUUGGAAUGUUACAAAGAAGAUUAGCGUGGCCGCUGCACAAGGAUGACACAAAGAUUCCUGAAGCGUUCCCUAUGUUU
Molecule: small nuclear RNA, 107 nt
Organism: Otolemur garnettii (small-eared galago)
Lineage: Eukaryota; Metazoa; Chordata; Mammalia; Primates; Galagidae
Source: Ensembl